GCAAUCAUACCAGCACUAUUGCACAGGAUCUCAUCAGAACUCUGCAGUUAAAAGUGCUUGGGAAAGCGCAAUACUAGGAUGUAUGACCCCCCUAGGAAGUCAUCGUGCUGCACCCA
Non-coding RNA from Ilex paraguariensis (yerba mate), 116 nucleotides. Lineage: Eukaryota; Viridiplantae; Streptophyta; Magnoliopsida; Aquifoliales; Aquifoliaceae. The record is from the annotation of a GenBank genome assembly.